This 207-nucleotide unclassified non-coding RNA is filed under the name uncultured Clavulina. RNAcentral's name for it is "sequence contains ITS1". The record is from RNAcentral. Lineage: Eukaryota; Fungi; Basidiomycota; Agaricomycetes; Cantharellales; Hydnaceae.
AUGAGUUGUGAUGGGGUUCGAUGCUGGCAGCCAAUUUUUGGAUGCAUGUGCUUGCCCUAACAAUCAUCUUCCAAACACCUGUGCACAUUUUUGAGGGAGUCUUGAGUUGGUUGCCGCUCUUGGGUGAUUUUCUUACAUUCCCUUAAAUCAUUAUACGCUAUUAACAAUGUUGAACGUGCUUUGUGCCGCAAGGCUAUUAAUAUAAUA